Molecule: non-coding RNA, 2628 nt
Organism: Delphinapterus leucas (beluga whale)
Lineage: Eukaryota; Metazoa; Chordata; Mammalia; Artiodactyla; Monodontidae
Source: RefSeq, a predicted model, not a curated record
AGGAAACUGGGACCUACCAGGGACAGGCUGUACCCAGUGUCACACAGCAAAGAGCCAGGUGAUCUCACCCACCAAAUGAGCCCAACCACAGCCGUGUGGCCUGAUGACCUCUGUCCUCAACCUCACGAUUCUCAGAAGUGAAAUUUGUGGAUGGAGGAUGAGCAUUUCUCAGGAUCUUUAGACCCACUUCCAAAAUGCUUUCCAGGUGCUAUACCAACGAGCAUGGCCAUCAGCACUGUAUGAGGGUGCCCGUUGCCCUACAUCCAGGCCGUACACUGGGUAUUAUCUUUUUCUCACCUUUGCAAAUUUGAUAGGUGAAAAUAUAUUGUUUUCAUUUCUAUUUCUGCUUAUUGACAGGUGGAACAUUUUUGCCAAAUACAUAUUAACCACUGGGAUUUCAUCUGUGAAUUGUCUAUAAGGAUCUUCAUGUCUUUCUUAUUGAUUUGUAUACCUUCUUUGUUGAGAAGAUUAAUCCUUAGUUUAUCAUUUUUGCAAACACUUCCCCCAUUUGCCUUUCAGUUCUGUGGUAUUGUUGCUGUACUUGUGUUUAAUUUUUGUGCGGCCCAUCCCAUCCCUCUCUUUCAUCUCUCUGUUUCUUUCUUGCUUUGAGGAUGAGAGGCCCCUGAGGCAGAGUGUGUACAAGUCAAAACACCGAGCCUUAGAGACUUUGAACCCUGCAGCCCAGGAGCCCACCGGGCCACCAGGGAGGAGAUGGGUGUGGGCUCCGCUCUAAGGAACACACUCCAGCCCUGGGGACCAAGGAUAAAACAAGACCCCAAGAGGAAGAAGGAGGAACUUGAUCAUGGUUUCAGAGGCAGGGAGCCUGUCAUUCAGGCACUGGAAAGUGUGAUACGAGUUGUCAGGGCUGCAGGAGCUCAGAGGACACACAGAGUGAAAGAGUUACAGCAGGACUCCCAGAGAAAAGGAAGCUGAGCCUUACCAGCUGGGUGGGACUAUAAUCGUGCUUGGCUUCCAUCAUCUAACCCUGCGUGAUAAUCACGCCUUUGCAUAGAUUCUAAACCCAGCCCAUCCUUAGGUUCAAAUGUGACCUCAGGGAGGGGCGCCUUCCGUCAGUCCUCCCCCAGCCUAGUGAUGAGCCCUACUGCAGGCUCUCAGCCCCGAACCCCAGGCUCCCUCUCAGGCACCUGUGUGUGAGCUCUAACUGCCCACCUCCAGGGGCUCCAGGACACCUCCUGCAACAUCGUAGCCCCUGAGCCUGGGGCACCACCAGCGUGCAGCAGGCACUCGUGACGUGACAUGUCUGAGGAAGGACUGUGUGGACAGUGUAAGUGAGAUCAAGAACAGAGGUUGGAGGAGAGAUGGGCCGUGAGAAUAACAAAAAAAGGCUGCCACGAUUCCCACAGCAUCUCCGUGAAAAAAAUAACGAGGUACGAGGCCAGCAGUUGCUGCCCCCUUCCUGGCCAGAGCUCAAAGACCUGCAGAGUGACAACAGUCACCAGGGAGACAGAUGGACAAAUGGCUGAAACCUGGAAGCUUCGCUCCUGGGGAUACACAGGAUUUCCUACAAAGCCCCGGCUACGAUGGAGCAGGGAAUUGGUUCUGCAGAGAGCGACCUGCCUGUUGCUGGCCUCCUCCCACAGUGCCCACCGCCGGAGCAGCAUCUGUGAGAGCUGGCACCCCUGGACCUGGUCACAGACCACUUUUUCUUGGCAGGCCACUUGGGGCCUGGCUGUUUCCAGACAAGAAGCUGGUCAUUCAGGUCUAAACACAGACUUGCAUUCAUGAAGAAACAGAGCACCCCUGUGCUCCUGGGGGCCACCCUCUGCCCGGCAGGCUGAGGGGAGGGCCCACAGACACCCUCAGAUGCUCACCCCCACUCAAGGCUGCCUGGAGGUGUGGCUACUCCCGGGACAAGUCAGCUCUGUCCAUCCAUGGGUAGCAUCCAGCAUACCCAACUCCAACCACCCGGGGACACCCACCUCAGAAUCACUCUGGCUUUGGGGACCCACCUGGCUCUUGUCAGGGCACAGGCAGUCUCGAGCAGACUCAGUGUCCUGGAAGAGCCUGGGCGUGGGGACAGGAAGACAGGACGCAGGCCUAGAAGUACUUCUCACUGCUGUGGGUCCUUGGAGAAGCCACUCUCCCCUUCUGGGCCUCAGUUACUCCUCUGCAAAGGGGCAAGAAAGUCUCAAGCCAGGAGGGAAAGCAAAUGUUGUCUGAGGGAAUAACAAAGCCUAGCCAGGAACUGGGUGAGGGGGCAGAUGGCCACUGGCUCUCCGUGGUCAGAAAAACCCCAAUCCCAGGACAGGCUGGCAGAAGCCCUCAGAGGGCUGCCGGCCCCUCUGCCUCCAUCCUACAAAUGCCAAUUGAACGCCUGUAUUCGCUCAGCUCUGUGUAAGUGCUGUGUAUACGAAGAGGGAUAAGGCACGCUACUAUCCCCAAAAUGCCCAGUGGGAGAGGUAGACAUGAAACAAAUAUUUAUAGAGACCGAUACAUAAGUAUAACUGUGUAAUGUACGUUACGAAGGCAAAGCACAGCGUCCUAGGAGGACCUCUGUCAAGGAGUCCUGAGUCGCCCAUGGAGAGUGGGGAAGACCCCCCCGAAGCAGCAGCAGCAGCAUUUGCUCUAAUAGCCAAUGGAUGCUAAUCAGACUGAGGGGCUGGCAGG